RNAcentral lists this ribosomal RNA (2927 nucleotides) under Escherichia coli. RNAcentral's name for it is "partial 23S ribosomal RNA". It matches the Rfam family "Bacterial large subunit ribosomal RNA". Lineage: Bacteria; Pseudomonadati; Pseudomonadota; Gammaproteobacteria; Enterobacterales; Enterobacteriaceae. The record is from RNAcentral.
GGGUUGUGAGGUUAAGCGACUAAGCGUACACGGUGGAUGCCCUGGCAGUCAGAGGCGAUGAAGGACGUGCUAAUCUGCGAUAAGCGUCGGUAAGGUGAUAUGAACCGUUAUAACCGGCGAUUUCCGAAUGGGGAAACCCAGUGUGUUUCGACACACUAUCAUUAACUGAAUCCAUAGGUUAAUGAGGCGAACCGGGGGAACUGAAACAUCUAAGUACCCCGAGGAAAAGAAAUCAACCGAGAUUCCCCCAGUAGCGGCGAGCGAACGGGGAGCAGCCCAGAGCCUGAAUCAGUGUGUGUGUUAGUGGAAGCGUCUGGAAAGGCGCGCGAUACAGGGUGACAGCCCCGUACACAAAAAUGCACAUGCUGUGAGCUCGAUGAGUAGGGCGGGACACGUGGUAUCCUGUCUGAAUAUGGGGGGACCAUCCUCCAAGGCUAAAUACUCCUGACUGACCGAUAGUGAACCAGUACCGUGAGGGAAAGGCGAAAAGAACCCCGGCGAGGGGAGUGAAAAAGAACCUGAAACCGUGUACGUACAAGCAGUGGGAGCACGCUUAGGCGUGUGACUGCGUACCUUUUGUAUAAUGGGUCAGCGACUUAUAUUCUGUAGCAAGGUUAACCGAAUAGGGGAGCCGAAGGGAAACCGAGUCUUAACUGGGCGUUAAGUUGCAGGGUAUAGACCCGAAACCCGGUGAUCUAGCCAUGGGCAGGUUGAAGGUUGGGUAACACUAACUGGAGGACCGAACCGACUAAUGUUGAAAAAUUAGCGGAUGACUUGUGGCUGGGGGUGAAAGGCCAAUCAAACCGGGAGAUAGCUGGUUCUCCCCGAAAGCUAUUUAGGUAGCGCCUCGUGAAUUCAUCUCCGGGGGUAGAGCACUGUUUCGGCAAGGGGGUCAUCCCGACUUACCAACCCGAUGCAAACUGCGAAUACCGGAGAAUGUUAUCACGGGAGACACACGGCGGGUGCUAACGUCCGUCGUGAAGAGGGAAACAACCCAGACCGCCAGCUAAGGUCCCAAAGUCAUGGUUAAGUGGGAAACGAUGUGGGAAGGCCCAGACAGCCAGGAUGUUGGCUUAGAAGCAGCCAUCAUUUAAAGAAAGCGUAAUAGCUCACUGGUCGAGUCGGCCUGCGCGGAAGAUGUAACGGGGCUAAACCAUGCACCGAAGCUGCGGCAGCGACGCUUAUGCGUUGUUGGGUAGGGGAGCGUUCUGUAAGCCUGCGAAGGUGUGCUGUGAGGCAUGCUGGAGGUAUCAGAAGUGCGAAUGCUGACAUAAGUAACGAUAAAGCGGGUGAAAAGCCCGCUCGCCGGAAGACCAAGGGUUCCUGUCCAACGUUAAUCGGGGCAGGGUGAGUCGACCCCUAAGGCGAGGCCGAAAGGCGUAGUCGAUGGGAAACAGGUUAAUAUUCCUGUACUUGGUGUUACUGCGAAGGGGGGACGGAGAAGGCUAUGUUGGCCGGGCGACGGUUGUCCCGGUUUAAGCGUGUAGGCUGGUUUUCCAGGCAAAUCCGGAAAAUCAAGGCUGAGGCGUGAUGACGAGGCACUACGGUGCUGAAGCAACAAAUGCCCUGCUUCCAGGAAAAGCCUCUAAGCAUCAGGUAACAUCAAAUCGUACCCCAAACCGACACAGGUGGUCAGGUAGAGAAUACCAAGGCGCUUGAGAGAACUCGGGUGAAGGAACUAGGCAAAAUGGUGCCGUAACUUCGGGAGAAGGCACGCUGAUAUGUAGGUGAGGUCCCUCGCGGAUGGAGCUGAAAUCAGUCGAAGAUACCAGCUGGCUGCAACUGUUUAUUAAAAACACAGCACUGUGCAAACACGAAAGUGGACGUAUACGGUGUGACGCCUGCCCGGUGCCGGAAGGUUAAUUGAUGGGGUUAGCGGUAACGCGAAGCUCUUGAUCGAAGCCCCGGUAAACGGCGGCCGUAACUAUAACGGUCCUAAGGUAGCGAAAUUCCUUGUCGGGUAAGUUCCGACCUGCACGAAUGGCGUAAUGAUGGCCAGGCUGUCUCCACCCGAGACUCAGUGAAAUUGAACUCGCUGUGAAGAUGCAGUGUACCCGCGGCAAGACGGAAAGACCCCGUGAACCUUUACUAUAGCUUGACACUGAACAUUGAGCCUUGAUGUGUAGGAUAGGUGGGAGGCUUUGAAGUGUGGACGCCAGUCUGCAUGGAGCCGACCUUGAAAUACCACCCUUUAAUGUUUGAUGUUCUAACGUUGACCCGUAAUCCGGGUUGCGGACAGUGUCUGGUGGGUAGUUUGACUGGGGCGGUCUCCUCCUAAAGAGUAACGGAGGAGCACGAAGGUUGGCUAAUCCUGGUCGGACAUCAGGAGGUUAGUGCAAUGGCAUAAGCCAGCUUGACUGCGAGCGUGACGGCGCGAGCAGGUGCGAAAGCAGGUCAUAGUGAUCCGGUGGUUCUGAAUGGAAGGGCCAUCGCUCAACGGAUAAAAGGUACUCCGGGGAUAACAGGCUGAUACCGCCCAAGAGUUCAUAUCGACGGCGGUGUUUGGCACCUCGAUGUCGGCUCAUCACAUCCUGGGGCUGAAGUAGGUCCCAAGGGUAUGGCUGUUCGCCAUUUAAAGUGGUACGCGAGCUGGGUUUAGAACGUCGUGAGACAGUUCGGUCCCUAUCUGCCGUGGGCGCUGGAGAACUGAGGGGGGCUGCUCCUAGUACGAGAGGACCGGAGUGGACGCAUCACUGGUGUUCGGGUUGUCAUGCCAAUGGCACUGCCCGGUAGCUAAAUGCGGAAGAGAUAAGUGCUGAAAGCAUCUAAGCACGAAACUUGCCCCGAGAUGAGUUCUCCCUGACUCCUUGAGAGUCCUGAAGGAACGUUGAAGACGACGACGUUGAUAGGCCGGGUGUGUAAGCGCAGCGAUGCGUUGAGCUAACCGGUACUAAUGAACCGUGAGGCUUAACCUUACAACGCCGAAG